Molecule: long non-coding RNA, 161 nt
Organism: Gavialis gangeticus (Gharial)
Lineage: Eukaryota; Metazoa; Chordata; Crocodylia; Gavialidae
Exons: 3
Source: RefSeq, a predicted model, not a curated record
AUGGGGUAGACCAGUGGUUCUCAACCUUUUUUGUACUAGGGCCCAUGUAUAAACAUUGAGGGCCAGUCCUGACUCAGUAAAUAGUUUAAGGAGAAGCAGUCCCCUGGCCCUGCAAACUCCCAACCUGCUUCCCCCCAGGCUCUCAGUGUGUGGGGCAGGGG